UGAGGAAUAUUGGUCAAUGGGCGCAAGCCUGAACCAGCCAUCCCGCGUGAAGGAAGAAGGCGCUAUGCGUCGUAAACUUCUUUUUCAGUGGAAGAAUGUUGGGUACGUGUACCCAAUUGCCGGUACCCUGUGAAUAAGCAUCGGCUAACUCCGUGCCAGCAGCCGCGGUAAUACGGAGGAUCCGAGCGUUAUCCGGAUUUACUGGGUUUAAAGGGUGCGUAGGCGGGCCCCUCAGUCAGCGGUGAAAGUCUGCGGCUCAACCGUAGGAUUGCCGUUGAUACUUGGGGCCUUGGAUUCGGUCGAGGCGGGCGGAAUGCGUGGUGUAGCGGUGAAAUGCUUAGAUAUCACGCAGAACGCCGAUUGCGAAGGCAGCUCGCCGGGCCGAUAUCGACGCUGAGGCACGAAAGCGUGGGGAUCGAACA
Molecule: ribosomal RNA, 422 nt
Filed under: uncultured prokaryote
Description: bacterial SSU rRNA
Rfam family: Bacterial small subunit ribosomal RNA
Source: RNAcentral